Molecule: ribosomal RNA, 243 nt
Filed under: uncultured bacterium
Lineage: Bacteria
Description: partial 16S ribosomal RNA
Rfam family: Bacterial small subunit ribosomal RNA
Source: RNAcentral
CGACCGGCGCACGGGUGAGUAACACGUAUCCAACCUGCCUUACACUCUUGGACAGCCUUCUGAAAGGGAGAUUAAUACAAGAUGUUAUCAUGAGUAAGCAUUUUCACAUGAUUAAAGGUUUACCGGUGUAAGAUGGGGAUGCGUUCCAUUAGAUAGUAGGCGGGGUAACGGCCCACCUAGUCUUCGAUGGAUAGGGGUUCUGAGAGGAUGGUCCCCCACAUUGGAACUGAGACACGGUACCAA